GGAUGUUGGCUUAGAAGCAGCCAUCAUUUAAAGAAAGCGUAAUAGCUCACUGGUCGAGUCGGCCUGCGCGGAAGAUGUAACGGGGCUAAACCAUGCACCGAAGCUGCGGCAGCGACACUAUGUGUUGUUGGGUAGGGGAGCGUUCUGUAAGCCGUUGAAGGUGUCCUGUGAGGGAUGCUGGAGGUAUCAGAAGUGCGAAUGCUGACAUAAGUAACGAUAAUGCGGGUGAAAAACCCGCACGCCGGAAGACCAAGGGUUCCUGUCCAACGUUAAUCGGGGCAGGGUGAGUCGACCCCUAAGGCGAGGCCGAAAGGCGUAGUCGAUGGGAAACAGGUUAAUAUUCCUGUACUUGGUGUUACUGCGAAGGGGGGACGGAGAAGGCUAUGUUGGCCGGGCGACGGUUGUCCCGGUUUAAGCGUGUAGGUGUGUGUUCCAGGUAAAUCCGGUUCACUUUAACACUGAGGCGUGAUGACGAGGCACUACGGUGCUGAAGUGACAAAUGCCCUGCUUCCAGGAAAAGCCUCUAAGCAUCAGGUAACAC
Molecule: ribosomal RNA, 541 nt
Filed under: Salmonella enterica subsp. enterica serovar Kintambo
Lineage: Bacteria; Pseudomonadati; Pseudomonadota; Gammaproteobacteria; Enterobacterales; Enterobacteriaceae
Description: partial 23S ribosomal RNA
Rfam family: Bacterial large subunit ribosomal RNA
Source: RNAcentral